RNAcentral lists this ribosomal RNA (468 nucleotides) under uncultured bacterium. RNAcentral's name for it is "partial 16S ribosomal RNA". It matches the Rfam family "Bacterial small subunit ribosomal RNA", at positions 28 to 507 of the family's 1533-position model. The record is from RNAcentral.
GACGAACGCUGGCGGCGUGCUUAACACAUGCAAGUCGAACGGAAAGGCCCUGCUUUUGUGGGGUUCUCGAGUGGCGAACGGGUGAGUAACACGUGAGUAACCUGCCCUUGACUUUGGGAUAACUUCAGGAAACUGGGGCUAAUACCGGAUAGCAGCUCCUGCUGCAUGGUGGGGGUUGGAAAGUUUCGGCGGUUGGGGAUGGACUCGCGGCUUAUCAGCUUGUUGGUGGGGUAGUGGCUUACCAAGGCUUUGACGGGUAGCCGGCCUGAGAGGGUGACCGGCCACAUUGGGACUAAGAGACGGACCAGAGUCCUACGGGAGGCAGCAGUGGGAAAUAUUGCACAGUGGGCGGGAGCCUGUUGCAGCAACGCCGCGUGCGGGAUGACGGCCUUCGGGUUGUAAACCGCUUUCGCCUGUGACGAAGCGUGAGUGACGGUAAUGGGUAAAGAAGCACCGGCUAACUACGUG